GACGAACGCUGGCGGCGUGCCUAAUACAUGCAAGUCGAGCGAAUCUUGAGGUGCUUGCACCUCUUGGUUAGCGGCGGACGGGUGAGUAACACGUGGGCAACCUGCCUGUAAGACUGGGAUAACACCGGGAAACCGGUGCUAAUACCGGAUAAUCCUUUUCCUCUCAUGAGGAAAAGCUGAAAGUCGGUUUCGGCUGACACUUACAGAUGGGCCCGCGGCGCAUUAGCAGUUGGUGAGGUAACGGCUCACCAAGGCGACGAUGCGUAGCCGACCUGAGAGGGUGAUCGGCCACACUGGGGACUGAGACACGGGCCCAGACUCCUACGGGAGGCAGCAGUAGGGAAUCUUCCGCAAUGGACGAAAGUCUGACGGAGCAACGCCGCGUGAGUGA
RNAcentral lists this ribosomal RNA (391 nucleotides) under uncultured bacterium. RNAcentral describes it as "bacterial SSU rRNA". It matches the Rfam family "Bacterial small subunit ribosomal RNA", at positions 28 to 408 of the family's 1533-position model. The record is from RNAcentral.